AGAGUUUGAUCAUGGCUCAGAUUGAACGCUGGCGGCAGGCUUAACACAUGCAAGUCGAACGGUAACAGAACUAGCUUGCUAGUUGCUGACGAGUGGCGGACGGGUGAGUAACGCGUAGGAAUCUACCGAAUAGUGGGGGACAACAGUUGGAAACGGCUGCUAAUACCGCAUACGCCCUACGGGGGAAAGGAGGGGAUCUUCGGACCUUUCGCUAUUUGAUGAGCCUGCGUGAGAUUAGUUAGUUGGUGGGGUAAUGGCUCACCAAGGCGACGAUCUCUAGCUGGUCUGAGAGGAUGAUCAGCCACACUGGGACUGAGACAUGGCCCAGACUCCUACGGGAGGCAGCAGUGGGGAAUAUUGCACAAUGGGGGAAACCCUGAUGCAGCCAUGCCGCGUGUGUGAAGAAGGCCUUCGGGUUGUAAAGCACUUUCAGUUGUGAGGAAAGGUUAAGGGUUAAUAACCCUUAGCUGUGACGUA
This 477-nucleotide ribosomal RNA is filed under the name uncultured marine bacterium. RNAcentral's name for it is "bacterial SSU rRNA". It matches the Rfam family "Bacterial small subunit ribosomal RNA", at positions 8 to 482 of the family's 1533-position model. The record is from RNAcentral.